Molecule: long non-coding RNA, 2898 nt
Filed under: Marmota monax (woodchuck)
Lineage: Eukaryota; Metazoa; Chordata; Mammalia; Rodentia; Sciuridae
Source: RNAcentral
AAAAAAAAAAAAAAGAAUAAAAUUAACAAAACCACUUGAGGGAGUCUAGCCUAGGUCCGAGGCGGACAAGCAUGGAGGUUGUGUCCUGUCAGUGGGGCUGCUGGUUCUGGCUCCUAGGUCUGGCAGCAUAGAAGGGUCCUGUUUAGGAUCGGGUGGCCUCAGAAGUCACGCCUGAGACCCGGACUUCUAAGGUGAAGAAAAUGCUCGAACAGCAGGCCCCCUGAAGAGUGGAAGGGCAAUGGAUUGGAAAACUUCGACAUGGGGAGAAGAAACGUGAUUUAAAAUAAAGAACCUUCAAGACAUUAUGUUUCUUUUUUGUAGCAUUCUGGAAAAUUUGAGAACAAGUUGGCGACAUCUUUCAGCUGGAACCAUUGCUCAUCAAGUUUGCUGAGAAGCUAAUGAUUUUAUUACAGAAAGCUACAUCGUCAUGUACAGUGUCCAGGUGCAGUGGUGUAUGACUUUAAUCCCAGUCACCUUGGAGGCUAAGGAGGGAGGAUCGCAUGAGCCCAUGAAUUGGAGACCGCCUGUGCAACAGAAAUUGGAGAAUGAAAAUGAAAAGUUCAUGGAAAAAAAAUGGAUUUAAGUAAGUCUGCAGUACCAUUUUCUGGGAACUGGCCUUUGAUGAUGGUCUUCUGAACUUCUCUUGGCUUUCUUGCAUCAGGGCCCUAUUUGCUAUUGUGUCAUCCUUUGCAUUUUGGGUCAUCAUCUCAUUUGGGUAGAGCACAUCCUUUUGCAGCUUCCUUAGCAAUGAGUGUGUGGGAGGUACAUUUUUGUGUUGUUUUGUAUAUAUGAUGUCUAAGUUGAUAUAGAAGUCUAAAGUUUUCUACAUAUGCUUUGAUUUUGUUUUGUUAAAUCCACCAUGCGACCAGCGCACUGGUUUCAUUAAUGAGGUUCUUGGCAUAAAAGUUAGCUAGUGAGAUCGAAAUAAAACACACAGACUCAGUUACCUUUUUCUAUGACCAGGCCCUAGACGGCUCCCCUCUCUGUUUCCCACCUCGAACCACCCUGUAGGCCAGCAAGGAUUACUCAGGGCUAGCAGGAGAGAGACAGAGGGAGCACGCCAGGGAGUAGCCUUUUAUUGGGGAACAAGAAAUUCAGGGGAGAAUUCCAUCCAAUGAAGGUUGAGGGGGGCCACACUCCAAGGUCAGGGUCAGUGAUUGGCCCCCAGGGUCAGUGGUCAGUCACGCCCCCACAUGGACAGGCUCUCUCAUCAGGAAAGGGCCGGGAAAGCUCCAACACAGUUAGCCAGAGCGCCUCAGACCCAAACCGGGAGUUGCCCAGUCACGUGUGAGAAUGGCUUCCCACAGUUAAACAUUAUAGUUUCUGCUGUCGGGAUUCUUUCACACAUGGAGUUCAGAGGGAGGCAGUCCUAGGACUGGUUCGGUCUCCCAGGGGUGUCAUGAGGACACAGACUUCCCUCUUCUUCGAGCUCCUAUAUCUUCAUCCUGUCAACCUGAAGACCAGGGUUUUAGGCUUUAGCUUUUAAAGUGUCUAUUCACAAGUCAGGCAAGGAAGAAACAGUUACCUCUACAGUUUGAAGGAAAAAGUCUGCAGAAUAUGCCACACAAAUUUUGGGAAUGCUACCUAGAAUUUGAUUUUCAUUUCCAUUUUGUCUAAGAGGUGUCAUUGACUUCUGAUUUGUCCACCGCUGUACUGAAACUUCUACUUUGGGAUUUAAAUGUUUAAUUUUAUUCUUGACAUAUGAAUAUUCUUGACAUGAAUAUUCUUCUUUCAUACAACUUAUUUAAAGAUUGAACUAUUCUAUAUAUAUUUUUUUCAACCAAGAGUUUCAUUAGGGGGCUGCCGGAAGAGGAAGAAAAGGAGAGGCAAAGAGCAGAGAGAAGAGAGAAAGAGGUCAGAGAGCAGAGGGGAAGAGGGCAGAGACCGUGAGCUUGCAAGCUUCGGCUUAAGAAGGGUUGCGUAGGCUAUGUGGAGGGUGUCCCACGGGGAUUGGUUGAGAGAACUUUUGCAUUUGGUGCUCUUUGGCUUGGCAUUCUUGGAGAGGAGGGGGAGGGGUAAGGGAUUCCAAGAUGUUCUUGCAAGAUGGAAACUUAACUUCAGAGGGGAGUGUCACCCACACACCCAACAUUCCUCCCUUUUUGUUUUAUGUUGGGAGCAGGGCGACAAGAUCCACAAGAUCAUCUAUUUCCUGCUGGAGAGGGACAAGUGUGAAGGAAGGGAGGCUGGUCAGGGUGCGGGGACAAAAGAAGCAUAGCUGUGAAGGCCAGGGUGCUGAAGAUGUGAAUUUCCUUGCGGCUGAAAUCGAUGAAAGUUCCUCGAAGCCACAGGUCAUGGAUAGUCUCUAUCCAACCCUUGUCCCUUGUCCUGUUGGAGGGCCUCCAGGAACUCCACGAACCAGCCAGCCACGCUGCAUGAGCCUGAAAACACCAAAGAUACCAUUCAUAGGCUGAUGGUGGAUUCGAAGGAGGCCAACGAGAAAAUGGGCGCUGGUUAGUCUCCGCUCACGUGGUGAUCUCUGGUGGGAUGGGAGUCCUGCUUAAAAGCAGGGGAGUCCCAUCCUAGUCUGGGCACCAAUGAAAGGCGAAUGACUCACGAGACAGAGAUUCAACCAAGAGAUUUUACUGGGGUCUGCCCAAAGAGGAAGAAAAGGAGAGGUAGAGCAGAGAGAGGAGAGGGAGAAGAGGAAGAGAGCAGAGAGCUGAACAUGUUCUACAUUUUUGAAGUAAUAAAUUCAUGGUAUCUAAAAAAAAAGCAUUUGAGGAUGAGGAAAGUAGCUCAGUGGUAGACUGUUUUCCUAGCAUGUAUGAAGUCCUGGGUUCAAACCCCAGCACCAUACACACAAAGCACAAACAACAGCAGAAAAACACACUCUUGAAAGAUUUCAAAUGUAUUGUUAUGUUUUAUUCAUGGUUUUUUUUUUUUUUGGUGGUGCUGGGG